This 217-nucleotide ribosomal RNA is filed under the name uncultured Streptococcus sp. RNAcentral describes it as "partial 16S ribosomal RNA". It matches the Rfam family "Bacterial small subunit ribosomal RNA", at positions 1170 to 1382 of the family's 1533-position model. Lineage: Bacteria; Bacillati; Bacillota; Bacilli; Lactobacillales; Streptococcaceae. The record is from RNAcentral.
AAGGUGGGGAUGACGUCAAGUCCUCACUUGGCCUUUAUGACCAGGGCUACACACGUACUACAAUGGUUGGUACAACGAGUCGCAAGCCGGUGACGGCAAGCAAAUACUCUUAAAGCCAAUCUCAGUUCGGAUUGUAGGCUGCAACUCGCCUACAUGAAGUCGGAAUCGCUAGUAAUCGCGGAUCAGCACGCCGCGGUGAAUACGGUUCCCGGGCCUU